Molecule: long non-coding RNA, 2621 nt
Organism: Nicotiana tabacum (common tobacco)
Lineage: Eukaryota; Viridiplantae; Streptophyta; Magnoliopsida; Solanales; Solanaceae
Source: RefSeq, a predicted model, not a curated record
GGGGCUAAGGCACAAAAGGGAUCGGGGAAGACCGUGAGAGAAAUAGAAAAACGGCGCAUAACUCCCAUCUCCAAUUCUCUGAAGAACAGAAGAAAAAAAAAAGAAAACCUUCCCUCUUUACAAUCAGAAAAUCCCUUCUCAAGCAAAAGCCAGACGCAUCCCCUCCCUCAAAUCUUUGAAAACAAAAAAAAAAGUAAAGAAAAGGAACCACGAAGAAUGUAAAUCUGGUCCGAUUACUGCUGCAGUACAUAUACAUCUCAUGGGUGUUCGAUUUUAACUUUGAUUUCAGAAGUCGAAGCUAUUUGUUGUUGUUUCCCCUUCAAUUAGCAGUUGAACACCAAUUUGAAGUUAUUUUAGGCCUUAUUUGGCUAUUCUAAAGUCUUACUACUGUUGUCCAGCCCGAGGAUCUUUGAGGAGGCCGAGGACUCCUCAUCCUGCAUUUUGUAAGAGGAAAGCUACCUCCUCUUUGGCAUCUAAUCCCACUGUAACUGCGUCCAGGCUAGCUUGAUCAUCUGCUUUUGUUCCUUCCUCAGCUGCCACCAGGUCUGCUCGGUCGUCGACCCCGUCUGUUGCUGCCUUGGUGUCAUUUUCUUCUCGGCCUGUGAAUACUUCGAUAGCGGAGAUUCUAACUUCCCCCCUGCACCGUCUUGUGGACAAGAAAGAGGAGGAGUUGCCAAGCAGCGGGAUUUUGGUUCCCCAUAAGAGAAGAUCGAUGCACGUCGUCUAUGGGUUGCCCAGACUGUAGAUUCGACAAUGGAUGAUUUUUUCAUCCGUGAAAUGGCAACCAUAAACUCAAGGAUGAUGUCGAGCCGUCGUCUAAAAUUCCAACAUUGGUGGGGACCAUAGAGGGCAUACCUCUUCCCUUUGCAGCGGUAAGAGCCAAAGGGUCGGCCACUGUGGUUUCUGAUAAUCUGCUGCAAGAUGUGCCAUCGACUUCGCAGCCGGCUACCGAUUCUCUUUUGUUGGUCGAAGGGAGAAAAAGACGUUGUCGGGGAUGGAUAUGAGACGAGUUUUGAUCUCAAUGCUGAUGAAAUAAGGAUGAUGGAGGAGGGGUUUACCCAACUUUAGGUGAGAUUGGAGGGGUCCACGCGGACCAUUGCAAUUCCCAUGGACAGUGAACUUUUGAAAAACACAGAAAACGUGGUCCCUUCUCUUGGUCCUCUUUGUUCUGACGUGGAGGGUGUAACCUUUGCGGUGUUGGAUAACGCCACCUUAUCGAGAAGCAUAGUCGGCCUCGCUCUCUGGACCGUGAUUUUGGAAAUUGAAAGUGCUCGAAGAGAGGAGAGGUGCAAGGAUAUUUUUAUGAAGUUACGGCGAAAGUACCGCGAGCACCGUGAUAAGCAUUGGGAGAUUUGUAGGUGGUUUGGUGAGAACGGCAAUUUCCAGGCUCUCUGAGAUGAACUGAAGGAGAAAUAUGACGAGCUAGUGAGGGUCAUCUAAAAAUGCAGCAUUCUUGAGGAGACACUAAGAAAUAAAUAAGAAGAACUUGAGGUUAGUAGGGGGCCGAAUCCAAGUAUGGCGAUCUCCAAGCCUAGGUGGUCUCACUAUGCACCGAGCUUGAGGAGUGUCAACUCAAAGCAGAUACUUUAAGUGGCUAGGUCACUGAGAAGGCAGUGGAUCUUGAGAAGGUGGAGUUAGCUCGGGUGAGGGCUAUGAGAAAGGUGGAGGCUUUCGAGAUCGUGAUCCGUUUUCUCCGUUCCGAACGAGAGAGUGCCUUAGAGGCAGCCAGGCUCAAAGAAGAGCGAUUUGAUGAACAGAUUGGAGAAUUAGAGAAAGAGGCUUCUGGCCUUUGUGAUCGAGUCACCGCUCUAGAGGCCAAGAAGGCCCAAUUACUGGAUCGACCAUCCUCUUCCCGCACUUCUUAUUUCCCUGAUAUUCCCCGAGAUUUUUACAAGGAGUGGAUUUAUGUCGAGGCCUAGCUGGAUAUAUUUAGAGAUCUGAUGAGGGCAUGAAUAGUUUCAGAAGCCAUCUUUAAAGAUGCUCGUGUUAAGGCACGUGGAGCUCGGGUCACUUGUGGUUAUGAUCCUGCUACACCAGAUGCCAGUGACGAUGAGGGAGAUGCAGGCAUAGACCGAAUUGAAGAGGAUGCCUGGUACGAGGAUGAGUAUCCUGAGGGCGAUGGGGAUGGCCUAGGUGAUCAAGCCGAUGGCAUUGCUGGUCUUGGUGGCAAUUAGUAGUUUUUCUUUUCCUUCUUUUGUUUUACCGCAAACUUGUGCGUUUUUGUGGGCGUCUUUUCGAGCCUUUGUAAAAAAUAUUCAAAGUAUGAAAUGACAAUUUUGUUAUUUAUACCUAAUCCUUUUUCUUCAGUUCGUGCUUGUAUACUUGUUGAUCUUGUUGCUUGGUUGCCUUGGUUUUCUUAGCUCGAAUAGGGUUAAACAUAUCUUUAGUUUAAUUGCUGCCGAGGGUCAGCAGAUGUUAGUUCAAAUGAGGUCGAAACAAAACCUAUGUUUGAUCAUGGUCGAGGGCCAGUAAAUGUUAGUUCGAACGAGGUCAAACAUAUCAUAUGUUUAUUUAUGGUCGAGGGCCGGUUAGGUGUUACUUCGAAAAAGAUUGAAUAUAACCUAUAUGGCCGAGGGCCAGUUAGGUGUUAAUUCGAACGAGGUCGAAUAUAACCUAUACUU